Molecule: long non-coding RNA, 255 nt
Organism: Nematolebias whitei (Rio pearlfish)
Lineage: Eukaryota; Metazoa; Chordata; Actinopteri; Cyprinodontiformes; Rivulidae
Exons: 3
Source: RefSeq, a predicted model, not a curated record
GUACCUGCUCAGACUCUUUAUUGGAAGAACCACCUGAGGAACAGCAAAAGUCCAUAAAUAUGACUGCUGAUGAUCAGCAUGGACAUAAUGAAGAGCAGCCAUGUAUAGUGGAUCCCAGUAAAAAUGAUCCCUGCUCACCUGAAGACACAGACAAUCCAACCAUAAACAUAGAUCCUGAAAUUUUCUUCAACUUUUUGGCCCUCACUCAAAGCCGAAGGCUCGAUGACCAGCGACUGUUUCUUCCAUCAUUGCCAG